AGUGGAUGGGGAGCAACCUAGUUGUGCGUGUGUAAAGGUAGUGCCAAGAAAAGCGGUGAUCAUGAUGAAAAUCAAUUCCCGGUACCCGAAACCGACACAGGUGGGCAAGUAGAGAAUACUAAGGGGCGCGAGGUAACUCUCUCCAAGGAACUCGGCAAAAUGACCCCGUAACUUAGGGAGAAGGGGUGCCACCGAGAGGUGGUCGCAGUGAAGAGGCCCAGGCGACUGUUUAGCAAAAACAUAGGUCUCUGCAAACUCGAAAGAGGAGGUAUAGGGGCUGACGCCUGCCCAGUGCCGGAAGGUUAAAGAAGUUGGUCAGUCUUAGGAUAAAGCUAGCGACUGAAGCCCCGGUGAACGGCGGCCGUAACUAUAACGGUCCUAAGGUAGCGAAAUUCCUUGUCGGGUAAGUUCCGACCCGCACGAAAGGCGUAACGAUCUGGGCGCUGUCUCGGAGAGAGGCUCGGCGAAAUAGGAUUGUCUGUGAAGAUACGGACUACCUGCAUUUGGACAGAAAGACCCUAUGAAGCUUUACUAUAGCUUGGAAUUGUGUUCGGGCUUCCUGUGCGCAGGAUAGGUGGGAGGCGAAGAAGGUAUUCUUGUGGGGAUACUGGAGCCAACGGUGAGAUACCACUCUCAGGAGGCUAGAAUUCUAACUUAAUUAAGGACAGUUUCAGGUGGGUAGUUUGACUGGGGCGGUCGCCUCCAAAAAGGUAACGGAGGCGUACAAAGGUUCCCUCAGACUGGUUGGAAAUCAGUCGCAGAGUGCAAAGGCAGAAGGGAGCUUGACUGCGAGAAGUACAGUCCGAGCAGGGUGGAAACACGGUCUUAGUGAUCCGACGGUGCUGUGUGGAAGGGCCGUCGUUCAACGGAUAAAAGUUACUCUAGGAUAACAGGCUGAUCUCCCCCAAGAGUUCACAUCGACGGGGAGGUUUGGCACCUCGAUGUCGGCUCAUCGCAACCUGGGGCGGAAGUACGUCCCAAGGGUUGGGCUGUUCGCCCAUUAAAGCGGUACGUGAGCUGGGUUCAGAACGUCGUGAGACAGUUCGGUCCAUAUCCGAUGUAGGCGUGAGAAUAUUGAGAGGAGCCUUCCUUAGUACGAGAGGACCGGGAAGGACGCACCGCUGGUGUACCUGUUAUGAUGCCAAUUGUAAACGCAGGGUAGCCAAGUGCGGAGAGGAUAACCGCUGAAAGCAUCUAAGUGGGAAGCCCACCUCAAGAUGAGUAUUCUGGUGUAAGGUCACGGGAAGACGACCCGUAAAUAGGCACGAGGUGGAAGUGCAGAGAUGUAUGAAGCCGAAGUGUACUAAUAGACCGUCGGCUUGACC
Molecule: ribosomal RNA, 1325 nt
Filed under: metagenome
Description: bacterial LSU rRNA
Rfam family: Bacterial large subunit ribosomal RNA
Source: RNAcentral